GUGGGGAAUUUUGCGCAAUGGGCGAAAGCCUGACGCAGUAACGCCGCGUGGAGGAUGAAGGCCUUCGGGUUGUAAACUCCUGUCAGGAGGAACGACGGGGAAAGGGUGAUAAGCCCUUCCCUCCAGACGGUACCUCCAAAGGAAGCCCCGGCUAAUUCCGUGCCAGCAGCCGCGGUAAUACGGAAGGGGCAAGCGUUGUUCGGAAUCAUUGGGCGUAAAGGGCGCGUAGGUGGUUCUGUAUGUCUACCGUGAAAGCGUACGGCUCAACCGUAUUUUGUCGGUGGAAACUGUAGGACUUGAGGCUGGGAGGGGCUGGUGGAAUUCCCUGUGUAGCGGUGAAAUGCGUAGAGAUGGGGGAGAACACUCGUGGCGAAGGCGGCCAGCUAGACCAGUUCUGACACUGAGGCGCGACAGCGUGGGGAGCAAACAGGAUUAGAAACCCUAGUAGUCC
RNAcentral lists this ribosomal RNA (451 nucleotides) under uncultured bacterium. RNAcentral describes it as "bacterial SSU rRNA". It matches the Rfam family "Bacterial small subunit ribosomal RNA", at positions 354 to 796 of the family's 1533-position model. The record is from RNAcentral.